Molecule: long non-coding RNA, 333 nt
Organism: Oncorhynchus keta (chum salmon)
Lineage: Eukaryota; Metazoa; Chordata; Actinopteri; Salmoniformes; Salmonidae
Exons: 3
Source: RefSeq, a predicted model, not a curated record
AGAACGACAGGUUGGACACUGUAACUCUGGCCCAGAACGACAGGUUGGACUCUGUAACUCUGGCCCAGAACGACAGGUUGGACUCUGUAACUCUGGCCCAGAACGACAGGUUGGACUCUGUAACUCUGGCCCAGAACGACAGGUUGGACUCUGUAACUCUGGCCCAGAACGACAGGUUGGACACUAUAACUCUGGCCCAGAACGACAGGUUGCACACUGUAACUCUGGCCCAGAACGACAGGUUGGACACUGUAACUCUGGCCCAGAACGACAGGUUACACACUUUUACUCCAGCACAGUACUACAUGUUGCACACUAUAACUCUGGCCCAGA